GAUGUGGAGCGCGCGGUGCACA
This 22-nucleotide microRNA is filed under the name Heligmosomoides polygyrus. RNAcentral describes it as "hpo-miR-10130-3p". The record is from miRBase by way of RNAcentral. Lineage: Eukaryota; Metazoa; Nematoda; Chromadorea; Rhabditida; Heligmosomidae.